AUUUAAUAUAAAUAUAAAUAGAUACAUUUAAAUAAUAUGCUUAUACUUUUUUCUUUAUUACAUAAUGGGCUGUCUUCUUCGUUUUCAUAAUUAACUGGGGUAUAUUUUUACAUUUUAGAAUAAAUAUGACAUUUUGAAUAAUAGAAUAUUUUGAAUUUUAAAUAAAUAACAAUUUAGCUAUGAGAAAAUAAUAUAAAAUAGACAGCUUUUAAAAUUUGACUUCAAGGUGCAUGCUUAGGUGCCUAGAAGUAAAUUGGCAUAAUGUCUGUACCUUACUUGCGAAUGCUUCAACAGUGUUAACAAUUAUUGAAUUUAGGUGGUAGAGAUAAGAGAAUCCAUUAUGCUAUUGCACAACUUUUCAUAAUAAAACACUAUUAUGAAGAUAGUUUUUUAUAAUAAAACACUGUAAAAAACAUAAUUUGCUGUACUAAGUAAUUUAUUCCUUUUAAAAUUCUAGGAAGGUUAGAAUGCAUGUUUAUAACAUCAAUAAAAUUACAAGGAUUUACAAUGUAGUUGGAACUAUCAGAGGAUCUGUGGAACCUGGUGAGUCACAUAAUUUUUUAAAACAUUUUGUUUUUACAAAAAUUAAAGGGUAAGUAAAGAUAAAUUGUAGUCAACAAUUGAAGUGGGGUUUUUUGGCUGAUUUGAAACUACUAAAUUUUGAGGAAAACUGUACAAAUCUAAAAGAAGAUUUUACUUUAUAGUGUUGUCUUCUAUAGAGGAAACUCAAGCAAGAGGAUGUUUAUUUUAAAAACAUAAAUUACAAAUAUUUAUAAUGUAUUCAAAGUUGUAGGUUUUUUGAACAUAUUAUUUUCCAGACAGGUAUGUUAUUCUGGGAGGUCACCGGGACUCCUGGGUAUUUGGAGCUAUUGACCCAACCAGUGGGGUUGCUGUUUUGCAAGAAAUUGCCCGGAGUUUUGGAAAACUGAUGAGUAAAGGCUGGAGACCUAGAAGAACUAUCAUUUUUGCCAGCUGGGAUGCAGAAGAAUUUGGACUUCUGGGUUCCACAGAAUGGGCUGAGGAGAAUGUCAAAAUACUCCAGGAGAGAAGCAUUGCUUAUAUCAACUCGGAUUCAUCUAUAGAAGGUAAAUUUUAUUUCAAUUUGAAGUGAAAUUUUCAGAAAGGAAAUUUUACUUCAAGUAACUUUUAUUAUGGAGUAGAAUACCAUCUAUUAAGACUAUAAAUUCUAGCUUAUUAAGCGCCUCAGAUAUCCCCUUCCUAUGAGAUGCCUCAGUAAUACCUUUAUUUUUCAUUUUGCCACAGAGAAAAUAACUAGGAUUCAUAUGAAUUGAUAUGAUUCAUAACUAAGCUAUUGCUUUUAAUUUCUUUGAUAUAUUUACUAUUUGUUUAUAUUACUACUUAAAACUCUAGUAUUAACCACAUAUUUUCUCGAUAAAGAUAUUAAUGGAAUUUGGCUAAAACAGUUCAGAAGAAAGGUUUAGCAGACUAUUCUGUGUAGAAAUAUUUCCUGUAUUUGUUGUAACAAAUUUGAAGUAAGUGUACUCACUUACUCCUUUGGAACUACAAACUCCUAUUGAAUCUAGCUCAGGAUCACCUGAGCCCAGGAGUGUAAGCCAUAGAGAGACCCUGACUCUCAAAAAAAAAAAAAAAAAAAAAGAAAGAAAAAAAAGAAAAAAAAACUGAUCUGGAUUGUCUACGCCAACAGGACUUGAUUUCUGAUUAGCACUACUAUGGAGACAGUAUGAUUCAGAAAAUGAAGAGAUUUGUGUCUCUAGGCUUUCAUUGCAUUGUGAUUAUUUCUAAAUAAACGUUAGAACAUAA
RNAcentral lists this small RNA (1782 nucleotides) under Pan troglodytes (chimpanzee). RNAcentral's name for it is "retained intron". The record is from RNAcentral. Lineage: Eukaryota; Metazoa; Chordata; Mammalia; Primates; Hominidae.